ACUUAUUCUAAAAUUGACCACAUAAUUAGAAGUAAAACACUCCUCAGCCAAUGCAAAAGAAUGGAAAUUAUAACAAACAGUGUCUUAGACCACACUGCAAUCACAAGGCUACAGUAAUAAAAACAGCAUGGUACUGGUACCAAAACAGAUAUAUAACCAAUGGAACAGAACAGAGGCCUCAAAAAUAAUGCCAGAUCUUUGACAACCCUGACAAAAACAAGCAAUGGGGAAAGGAUUCCCUAUUUAAUAAAUGGUGUUGAAAAAACUAGCUAGUCAUAUGCAGAAAACUGAAAC
Molecule: long non-coding RNA, 294 nt
Filed under: Homo sapiens (human)
Lineage: Eukaryota; Metazoa; Chordata; Mammalia; Primates; Hominidae
Description: non-protein coding lnc-PCSK1-3:1
Source: RNAcentral